GAUGAACGCUGGCGGCGUGCCUAACACAUGCAAGUCGAGCGAGAAGCCAUAAAAGGACACUUCGGUAGAAUUAUAUGGCGGAAAGCGGCGGACGGGUGAGUAACGCGUGGGAAACCUGCCUUUCACAGAGGGAUAGCCGAAGGAAACUACGAUUAAUACCUCAUAAAGCAAAAGCCUCGCAUGAAGCGAUUGCCAAAGAAUAAUCGGUGAAAGAUGGUCCCGCGUCUGAUUAGUUAGUUGGUAAGGUAGCGGCUUACCAAGGCGACGAUCAGUAGCCGGCCUGAGAGGGUGAACGGCCACAUUGGAACUGAGACACGGUCCAGACUCCUACGGGAGGCAGCAGUGGGGGAUAUUGCACAAUGGGCGAAAGCCCUGAUGCAGCAACGCCGCGUGAAGGAAGAAGGCUUUCGAGUCGUA
This 417-nucleotide ribosomal RNA is filed under the name [Eubacterium] minutum. RNAcentral's name for it is "bacterial SSU rRNA". It matches the Rfam family "Bacterial small subunit ribosomal RNA", at positions 28 to 427 of the family's 1533-position model. The record is from RNAcentral. Lineage: Bacteria; Bacillati; Bacillota; Clostridia; Peptostreptococcales; Anaerovoracaceae.